AGAGAGAGACAUGCGCGCAUAUCAAUAAGCGGAGGAAAAGAAACUAACAAGGAUUCCCCUAGUAACGGCGAGUGAAGCGGGAAGAGCUCAAAUUUGAAAUCUUAAAGGGUUUCCCUUUACGAAUUGUAGUUUAAAGAAGUGUUUUCUGUUGAGGUUUUGGUAAAAGUUCUUUGGAAUAGGACAUCAUAGAGGGUGAGAAUCCCGUAUUUGACCUUUACUUUCAACUUUGUGACACACUUUCAAAGAGUCGGAUUGUUUGGGAAUGCAGUCCAAAAUGGGUGGUAAAUUUCAUCUAAAGCUAAAUAUUGGCGAGAGACCGAUAGCGAACAAGUACCGUGAGGGAAAGAUGAAAAGAACUUUGAAAAGAGAGUUAAACAGUACGUGAAAUUGUCAAAAGGGAAGCGUUUGACACCAGUGUUGUUUUUCUGAAAAUCAAUUAAAGAACUGUUUAUGCUAAGUUGUUUAGACUUUAUCAGCUAACUGUUUAGUUUUGAGCUUUUCUUUAAUGCACUUUUCAGUUAACAAGUCAACAUCAAUUUCUUUUGCUGUAAAAAAGCUUGAGGAAGGUGGCUUGAGAUUCGUCUUAAGUGUUUAUAGCCUCUUGCCUAUGCAGUCGGAGAGAUUGAGGUCUGCAGCGUAGAUCCUUCGGGGCUAAAUGCAUUUGUGCUAAGUUAUAGCAUUUUAUAGACAACUUGUUGACUAUGAUUUGUCUUGUAGCUUACUCACUUAUGUUAUUUUACCUACGCUUAGGAUGUUGAGCGCAUGUCUCUCUCU
RNAcentral lists this ribosomal RNA (774 nucleotides) under uncultured Neocallimastigales. Its description in RNAcentral is "partial large subunit ribosomal RNA". It matches the Rfam family "Eukaryotic large subunit ribosomal RNA", at positions 23 to 616 of the family's 3401-position model. Lineage: Eukaryota; Fungi; Neocallimastigomycota; Neocallimastigomycetes; Neocallimastigales. The record is from RNAcentral.